GAUGAACGCUGGCGGCGUGCCUAAUACAUGCAAGUCGAGCGAACAGAUGAGGAGCUUGCUCCUCUGACGUUAGCGGCGGACGGGUGAGUAACACGUGGAUAACCUACCUAUAAGACUGGGAUAACUUCGGGAAACCGGAGCUAUUCCCGGAUAAUAUAUUGAACCGCAUGGUUCAAUAGUGAAAGACGGUUUUGCUGUCACUUAUAGAUGGAUCCGCGCCGCAUUAGCUAGUUGGUAAGGUAACGGCCUACCAAGGCGACGAUGCGUAGCCGACCUGAGAGGGUGAUCGGCCACACUGGAACUGAGACACGGUCCAGACUCCUACGGGAGGCAGCAGUAGGGAAUCUUCCGCAAUGGGCGAAAGCCUGACGGAGCAACGCCGCGUGAGUGAUGAAGGUCUUCGGAUCGUAAACCGCUGUUAUUAGGGAAGAACAAAUGUGUAAGUAACUAUGCACGUCUUGACGGUACCUAAUCAGAAAGCCACGGCUAACUACGUG
This 497-nucleotide ribosomal RNA is filed under the name uncultured bacterium. RNAcentral's name for it is "partial 16S ribosomal RNA". It matches the Rfam family "Bacterial small subunit ribosomal RNA", at positions 28 to 507 of the family's 1533-position model. The record is from RNAcentral.